This 252-nucleotide ribosomal RNA is filed under the name uncultured bacterium. Its description in RNAcentral is "partial 16S ribosomal RNA". It matches the Rfam family "Bacterial small subunit ribosomal RNA", at positions 524 to 776 of the family's 1533-position model. The record is from RNAcentral.
UACGUAGGGGGCAAGCGUUGUCCGGAAUCAUUGGGCGUAAAGAGCGCGUAGGCGGCCCUGUAAGUCCGCUGUGAAAGUCAAGGGCUCAACCCUUGAAUGCCGGUGGAUACUGCAGGGCUAGAGUCCGGAAGAGGCGAGUGGAAUCCUGGUGUAGCGGUGAAAUGCGCAGAUAUCAGGAGGAACACCGAUGGCGAAGGCAGCUCGCUGGGACGGUACUGACGCUGAGGAGCGAAAGCGUGGGUAGCGAACAGG